Long non-coding RNA from Peromyscus eremicus (cactus mouse), 4443 nucleotides. RefSeq lists it as uncharacterized. Lineage: Eukaryota; Metazoa; Chordata; Mammalia; Rodentia; Cricetidae. The transcript is spliced from 2 exons. The record is from RefSeq and is a predicted model, not a curated record.
CAGAGAUUGUCUUUCAGCUGGUGGUCAAGUGCCAGGCUCCAUCUAGAGGAAGGUUGUCAGGGGUCACUUGCAAUCCCUACAUUUGUGGCUGAGCCAGGCGCCAGGCUCCCAAGAACCUCACCUGUGACCCUGGACGUCCUCACAGGUUAAAGGGUCUCAGGGACCCAGAGGCCGGCAAUUUAGCUAUGGUGGACCAGAAAAGCCCUCUUCCCCAGAGGUGGGAGCAGGGAAGUGAGAAAGAAACACAGAUACACUGAGUUCCUGAAGGCAGAAAACGGGCAAAGAAGACAGAGAAACCUGGAGAGAUAUCAUGAGGCCUUGAGACCCACAAUGUCACAGAGAUAGAUUCACAGCACUAGAGAAACAGAAGCUUCUAGAACCCCGAGGACAGUGGGACAGGAUCUCACUAUGGCCUGAAACUCAGUUUGACUAAGAUGCAUGUGAGUACAUGUGCCUCCAGAGACCAGGAAAGUGCAUCAGAUACCCAAAUCUGGAGUUACAGGCAGCUGUGAACCCUCUGGGGUUGGUUCUGGGAACUGAACACCAGUUGUCUUCAAGAGCAAUACAUGUUAAGCUUUAAGCUGUACCUCCAGCCCCUCUUAUUAUUUUUUAUUUCAAGAUAGAGUCUCACUAAGUUGUCUAGGCUGGCCUCAAUUUAACAGUUUUCCUACUUCAGCUUUCUAGAGUUUUCUUUCUUACUAUACCUAAAUCAUAAAUUAAACUUUGCCAUAAAUAUAUAUGACAAAGAAAUAAAUAUAUUCUAUACAAGGUUCAGUACUAAUGGUUUCAGGUAAGUAUGUUGGAACAUACUUCAUUUCCCCACCAAUAAGAGUGAAUACUGCUGGCAUUGACAAUUACCACACACACUCCUUGUUGAGAGAUUCGAACACUUCCUGGGUUUAGUAGUCUCUACAGAGCAGAGUCAACAUGUAAGUCUCGACCCCUUGAGGGUCAAGUGACCCUUUCCUAGCAAAAUCACCUAAGACCAUCCUGCAUGUCAGAUAUCUACAUUAUAAUUCGUAACAGUAGCAAAACUAUAGUUUGAAGUAGAAAUGAAAAUAAUAUUAUGGUUCAGGGUCACUACAUCAUAAAGAACUGUAUUAAAGGGUUAUGGCAUUAGGAAGGUUGAGAACCACUGCUAUAAAGUAUAUCAUUUAAACACACAUCUUAUUAUCAGCCAUGGGUAUUAGUCUCCAUGUAAAGAUGAGGGACCCAGAUUCUGCCAUGGUAGGGAUGGAAAUCAGGGCCUCCCGUAUUCGAGGAAAGCACUCUUAUCAGUGAGCUAAAACCCCAUCUAGGACUUAAGGUUCUUAAUAGGGAAAAGCACAGACUCAUAAAAUAAGCCAGAGACUUGAGCCCAGGCUGCUUUGUCACUAAAUGCAAUAUUCCUCCUUUGAAGGUGUGAUGUGUCUGUAAAAACAUGUGAGUACUGGGGACCGGCACUGGCACAUUUUUACUUCUGCACACAGAAUCACAUGUGAUUUAAAAGCACACUUUUUAUCAGUCCCUAUACAUAGAGUAGGUGUCUAGGACUGCUGUCACACAUCCACAGUCCUGAUGACCAAUCUCUUGUCCUAGCUGGGAUUCAGCUGUGUUCUGUUGUGACUGGGUCUGACUGUGAGCACUAUGUGAGGUAACAGCCUAUAUCUGAGUCACCUCUUGGUCCUCAGUGUCACCCAACACAGGCGUGGCUCAGAGUAGGGACCAGGAAGAUGUUUGUUAAGUGAGUAAAUGGAGGGAUGGGUGGAUGUCAAAGGGGUUAUUUAGAGAUUAGUCUGGCACUUGCUUUAGCCUGUGGGAUAAGGCGACAUAAUUCCUGAGACAUGAGCCCUUUAUUACCAUCAGAAGUCAUGGGGGCAACUGCUCCUGUCCUCUGCUUCAGAAAAUUUCAAUUCACACAGAACCUAAGAGUCAUACCUGAAAUUCCUACAAAUCCCUGAAACUUAGGACCCAUCAUUUGUAUCAUUCUUGGAGACAGGAGUGUCCAUUUUCAACUCCUGGUGUUCAAGAUCUGCCAUUCCCAUCAUCCAUCCCCUGGGCUAAGUUGCUUGGCACAAAGCAUACCCAUGCACACACCCAUACAUAUACACAUAAUUAGAGUACUUAAAAUUUCAAAUGAAUUUAUUAAUUAAGGGCUAGGAAGAAGAUUCAACGGGUAAAAAGCAUUUGCCAUGCAAGCUUGAUGAUUCAAGUCUUCAGAACCCAUAUAAAAAAGCCAAAUGUGAUGUCUCACAACUAUAACUCAGCAAUCUUGUUUGUUUGUUUGUUUUCGAGACAGGGUUUCUCUGUGUAGCUUUUUGCCUUUUCCUGGAACUCACUUGGUAGCCCAGGUUGGCCUCGAACUCACAGAGAUCCGCCUGCCUCUGCCACCCAGUGCUGGGAUUAAAGGUGUGUGCCACCACCGCCUGGCUAAUAACUUAGCAAUCUUAAAAGCCAGAUACGAAAUAAAGGAGAAACUUCCUGAAGCUUGUGGACACAUGAGUGUCCCGCACAAUGAUAUUAAAUGAAUAAAAUUUAAAGUAAAGAUAUAUUUUUUAAUCGGCUCAGUUUUAUCCUCUCUGUUUACAUUGGCCUCACCUAAGUCUUUGAAACAGGCUGUGCUGCUCCCAUCACCUCACUGCACACGUCGAUAUGUUAUUUCCUAACUAGCAUAUAGUUGUUGGAUGAAAGGCCAGGUUUCGUUGUGAUAUUUUUGUCUAAGUUUGUCAUAUUUUGCUCAUAUUCACCUCCUUGUUGCCCUCUUUAGCUGCCUUUCCUCCCUGCUUCUUCCUCAUGGUUCCCUUCACGAUUGUAUCCAUUUUACAUUUUUAUGCAGGUGUGUACAUGCCUUUGCAUAAGAGUGGGUGCAUGCAGGGGCUCAAGGUUGAUGGCACAAAUUAUCCUCUAUUGAUGGUCUACCUUGUUCAUUGACGCAGGAGCUCUCAGCCAACCCUAGAGCUCACAGAUACAGCUAGUCUCAACAGCGAGCUUGACCUGUCUGCCUUUUGAGGCUGGAAUCACAGGCAGGCUGCCAUGUCCACUUGGUCCCCAGGUUUGCAGAAUAAGCUCUUCACCACUGAGCUGUCUCCCCCAGCCCCUUUUUACUUAAAAUGUUAGUUUUCUUUUAAGAGUUAUUUUAUUUGUAUGGGUCUUUUGUCUGCAUGUAUAUCUGUGCUCCACAUGUUUGCCUGGUGCCUGCGGAGGUGAGACAGAGACUAUUGUGGGCCACCAGGUCAGUGCUAGGAAUUAAAUCCAAGUCUUCUUUCUGCAAGAGCAGCUAGUACUCUGAAAUGAUGAGCCAUUCCUGCCGCUCUGCUGUCUUUUUAGCUUUUCAGGGUACUAAAUAAUGGGAUUCAUUAUGGCAUUUGCAUAUACCUAUACCGUGGACUCUGUUCACAUUCACCUCUACUUUACUUCAUUUAGCGCCCCCCCCACCUUCCACUGGCCUCCUACCCCAAAUAGCAAACAGUCCCUCUUACUUCUUUCAUAUCCUGUGUGUGUGUAGAUAGAUUCUACAUAUGUGAAAAAACAUGCCAUAUUUGUCUCGCCUGACACUGUCCUCUCUUCUUCCCUCUUCCUCUUCAAAAUACUCCCCCUUCUGUGUUCCCAUUAUAUACUUCAAAUAUAUGUUUGUGGAUCAGUGGAAAGAUGUAAUGUUUCAUAGCGAGAAAUCCACAGAGUCUGUUUAAAGGGAAAAGGAAUUAUUAAGGGGAAAACUCACUGUAUAGUACAGAAUAAUUGCAGGCUCUGGACUGCUGUUCUGGCUGCCUAAGUCAGUCUUAAGACCUGCAUCUCAUGUCUUAAGGAUCUUCGAGAGGCCAUGCCCCAUGGACAUGUACUUCAAGGUCAUAGGCAGGUAGUGCAGUAACCUGCUGUAUCUCUAGGGACGAUGCUUCAAGGUCAUAGACAGAACAGCUACCCACUACAAUGUUUGUCUUCCAAAUCUGGCAGUUUUGCUUGACAUGAUGACAUCCAGGUUCAUCCACUUUCCUGUAGAUGAUAUAAUUUCUUUCUUCUUUGUAAAUGUUUAAUUACGUUUUCUUAUGUGAAGACAGUAAAUGUGUGCCAUAGUCAGAGCACAAGCUGAAGGAGUCCAUUUUCUCCUUCCACCACAUGGGUCUUGGGGAUCAAACUCUGCUUGUCAGGUGACUUCAUGACAAGAUCCUGUACCCUCUGAGACAUUUUCCAGAAGUUUGUUCAUUAUUUAGUUUGAGAUAGGACUUACAUAGCCCAGGCUGGCCUUGAACUGUCUAUGUAGCUGACAAAAAACUUUAAACAUCUUAUCCUACUGCCUCUACAUCCCAGAUGCUGGGAUACAGAAAUGGACUAUCGUGCUGUUGUACACAGUGCUGGGAAUUAAACCCUGGACCCUGUAAUGACAGGCAAGCACUCUACCAACUGAGCUGCAUCACUGGUCCCAUAUUUUUUUCUUAUACCUAAUAAAAACAAUGUUUAUUUUGUCAA